This 421-nucleotide ribosomal RNA is filed under the name uncultured bacterium. RNAcentral's name for it is "partial 16S ribosomal RNA". It matches the Rfam family "Bacterial small subunit ribosomal RNA", at positions 360 to 774 of the family's 1533-position model. The record is from RNAcentral.
AAUUUUCGGCAAAGGGGGCAACCCUGCCCGAGCGCCGCCGCGUGGGUGAAGAAGGUUUCCGGAUUGUAAAGCUCUGUUGUAUGGGAAGAUCCGUUCCAGUAGUGAAUGAUUGGUACCUGUUGGUACCUUAUCAGCAACCCACGGCUAACUUCGUGCCAGCAGCCGCGGUAAUACGUAGGUGGCAAGCGUUAUCCGGAAUAAUUGGGCGUAAAGGGAGCGCAGGCGGCUUAUUAAGUCUGAGGUUAAAGUUCGGGGCUCAACCCCGUGAUGCCUUAGAAACUGGUAGGCUAGAGUGCAGGAGAGGUGAGUGGAAUUCCAUGUGUAGCGGUAAAAUGCGUAGAUAUAUGGAGGAACACCAGUGGCGAAGGCGGCUCACUGGCCUGUAACUGACGCUGAGGCUCGAAAGCGUGGGGAGCAAAUA